This 570-nucleotide ribosomal RNA is filed under the name uncultured bacterium. RNAcentral's name for it is "bacterial SSU rRNA". It matches the Rfam family "Bacterial small subunit ribosomal RNA", at positions 34 to 596 of the family's 1533-position model. The record is from RNAcentral.
CGCUGGCGGCGUGCCUAAUACAUGCAAGUCGCACGGACACCUUCGGGUGUCAGUGGCGGACGGGUGAGUAACACGUGGGUAACCUGCCUCACAGCCUGGGAUAACGCCUGGAAACGGGUGCUAAUCCCGGAUAGAUUCUUACGCCGCAUGGUGUAGGGAGGAAAGCUGCCGCAAUGCAGCACUGAGAGAUGGGCCCGCGGCGCAUUAGCUAGUUGGUGAGGUAACGGCCCACCAAGGCAACGAUGCGUAGCCGACCUGAGAGGGUGACCGGCCACACUGGGACUGAGACACGGCCCAGACUCCUACGGGAGGCAGCAGUAGGGAAUCUUCCGCAAUGGGCGCAAGCCUGACGGAGCAACGCCGCGUGAGUGAAGACGGUCUUCGGAUUGUAAAGCUCUGUUGCCAGAGACGAGCGGAUAGGAGAGGGAAUGCUCCUAUCGAGACGGUAUCUGGUCAGAAAGCCCCGGCUAACUACGUGCCAGCAGCCGCGGUAAUACGUAGGGGGGCAAGCGUUGUCCCGGAAUGACUGGGGCGUAAAGCGCGCGCAGGCGGUCUAUCACGUCUGGGGUG